Molecule: ribosomal RNA, 253 nt
Filed under: uncultured bacterium
Lineage: Bacteria
Description: partial 16S ribosomal RNA
Rfam family: Bacterial small subunit ribosomal RNA
Source: RNAcentral
CACGUAGGGCGCGAGCGUUGUUCGGAGUUACUGGGCGUAAAGGGUGUGUAGGCGGUUGUUUAAGUUUGGUGUGAAAUCUCCCGGCUCAACUGGGAGGGUGCGCCGAAUACUGAAUGACUAGAGUGCGGGAGAGGAAAGUGGAAUUCCUGGUGUAGCGGUGAAAUGCGUAGAUAUCAGGAGGAACACCGGUGGUGUAGACGGCUUUCUGGACCGUAACUGACGCUGAGACACGAAAGCGUGGGUAGCAAACAGG